This 468-nucleotide ribosomal RNA is filed under the name uncultured bacterium. RNAcentral describes it as "partial 16S ribosomal RNA". It matches the Rfam family "Bacterial small subunit ribosomal RNA", at positions 28 to 507 of the family's 1533-position model. The record is from RNAcentral.
GACGAACGCUAGCGGCGUGCUUAACACAUGCAAGUCGAACGGAAAGGCCCUGCUUUUGUGGGGUGCUCGAGUGGCGAACGGGUGAGUAACACGUGAGUAACCUGCCCUUGACUUUGGGAUAACUUCAGGAAACUGGGGCUAAUACCGGAUAGGAGCUCCUGCUGCAUGAUGGGGGUUGGAAAGUUUCGGCGGUUGGGGAUGGACUCGCGGCUUAUCAGCUUGUUGGUGGGGUAGUGGCUUACCAAGGCUUUGACGGGUAGCCGGCCUGAGAGGGUGACCGGCCACAUUGGGACUGAGAUACGGCCCAGACUCCUACGGGAGGCAGCAGUGGGGAAUAUUGCACAAUGGGCGGAAGCCUGAUGCAGCAACGCCGCGUGCGGGAUGACGGCCUUCGGGUUGUAAACCGCUUUCGCCCGUGACGAAGCGUGAGUGACGGUAAUGGGUAAAGAAGCACCGGCUAACUACGUG